Molecule: ribosomal RNA, 1287 nt
Filed under: metagenome
Description: bacterial SSU rRNA
Rfam family: Bacterial small subunit ribosomal RNA
Source: RNAcentral
UAGCUAGUUGGUGAGGUAAAGGCUUACCAAGGCGACGAUCUGUAGCGGGUCUGAGAGGAUGAUCCGCCACACUGGAACAGAGACACGGUCCAGACUCCUACGGGAGGCAGCAGUGGGGAAUUUUGGACAAUGGGGGCAACCCUGAUCCAGCCAUGCCGCGUGAGUGAAGAAGGCCUUCGGGUUGUAAAGCUCUUUCGGCCGGGAAGAAAUCGCAUGGGCCAAUACCCUGUGUGGAUGACGGUACCGGAAUAAGAAGCACCGGCUAACUACGUGCCAGCAGCCGCGGUAAUACGUAGGGUGCGAGCGUUAAUCGGAAUUACUGGGCGUAAAGCGUGCGCAGGCGGUUUUGUAAGACAGGCGUGAAAUCCCCGGGCUUAACCUGGGAACUGCGUUUGUGACUGCAAGGCUAGAGUACGGCAGAGGGGGGUGGAAUUCCACGUGUAGCAGUGAAAUGCGUAGAGAUGUGGAGGAACACCAAUGGCGAAGGCAGCCCCCUGGGUCGAUACUGACGCUCAUGCACGAAAGCGUGGGUAGCAAACAGGAUUAGAUACCCUGGUAGUCCACGCCCUAAACUAUGUCAACUAGGUGUUGGGUGGGUAAAACCAUUUAGUACCGUAGCUAACGCGUGAAGUUGACCGCCUGGGGAGUACGGCCGCAAGGUUAAAACUCAAAGGAAUUGACGGGGACCCGCACAAGCGGUGGAUGAUGUGGAUUAAUUCGAUGCAACGCGAAAAACCUUACCUACCCUUGACAUGCCAGGAACUUGCCAGAGAUGGCUUGGUGCCCGAAAGGGAGCCUGGACACAGGUGCUGCAUGGCUGUCGUCAGCUCGUGUCGUGAGAUGUUGGGUUAAGUCCCGCAACGAGCGCAACCCUUGUCGUUAAUUGCCAUCAUUUAGUUGGGCACUUUAACGAGACUGCCGGUGACAAACCGGAGGAAGGUGGGGAUGACGUCAAGUCCUCAUGGCCCUUAUGGGUAGGGCUUCACACGUCAUACAAUGGUCGGUACAAAGGGUUGCCAAGCCGCGAGGCGGAGCCAAUCCCAGAAAGCCGAUCGUAGUCCGGAUUGCAGGCUGCAACUCGCCUGCAUGAAGUCGGAAUCGCUAGUAAUCGUGGAUCAGCAUGUCACGGUGAAUACGUUCCCGGGUCUUGUACACACCGCCCGUCACACCAUGGGAGCGGGUUCCGCCAGAAGUAGGUAGCCUAACCGCAAGGGGGGCGCUUACCACGGCGGGGUUCGUGACUGGGGUGAAGUCGGAACAAGGUAGCCGUAGGGGAACCUGCGGCUG